RNAcentral lists this ribosomal RNA (253 nucleotides) under uncultured bacterium. RNAcentral describes it as "partial 16S ribosomal RNA". It matches the Rfam family "Bacterial small subunit ribosomal RNA", at positions 524 to 776 of the family's 1533-position model. The record is from RNAcentral.
UACGUAGGGGGCUAGCGUUGUCCGGAAUCAUUGGGCGUAAAGCGCGCGUAGGCGGCCCGGUAAGUCCGCUGUAAAAGUCAAAGGCUCAACCUUUGAAUGUCAGUGGAUACUGCCGGGCUAGAGUCCGGAAGAGGCGAGCGGAACUCCUGGUGUAGCGGUGGAAUGCGCAGAUAUCAGGAAGAACACCGACGGCGAAGGCAGCUCGCUGGGACGGUACUGACGCUGAGGCGCGAAAGCGUGGGGAGCGAACAGG